Non-coding RNA from Zootermopsis nevadensis, 1160 nucleotides. NCBI's taxonomy places the organism in Eukaryota, Metazoa, Arthropoda, Insecta, Blattodea, Termopsidae. The record is from RefSeq and is a predicted model, not a curated record.
UCAUUGCUACCUCGAUACGCAUCGACACAUAACCUCAACUGACAAACGAUUUCAACCCAAUAUGUAUGUGAGAUUUGAUGUUCUCACAGCAACACUUAUGAAAAUGGCUGUCAUCUGGGAUGUUGAAUUGUACAUAUUGUAGAUAUUGAUGUUUCACCAUUCUGGAGCUGCCUCCGCGAUGGUGAUGGAAAUGGUUAAUAUAUACCAGAAUAUGUGGUACAUCUCAGAAGACCAUUAUGCACUUUGUAUACACAGAGAACAAACAUGUCAAACGCAAAGAAGAAAAUGAAUGCAUCAACUGGUGAAGUGGUUCAGCUCAAUUGUUCUGUGUUCAUCCAGCUGUAUUAUGUCCAUCAGCAGAUGAUCUGUCUUUAUGCCAAUACAGGCUCUUCAAAUAAUUCUGAAAUUCUUUACACUAUAGAUCAAUAACUUAAUCACUUAACAAAAAAUGUAUCUGUUGCUCUUUUUGAACAUGCUAAAACUAUCACAGCAUUCGUAUUAUAAUAAUUGCAAUUCUGUUGUUUGUUUGAUGUCACAUGUAUGUUCAGAGAAGGAAAGGUUCUUUUAAUUACUCUAAAAAUAAAAUAAAUAAACGAUCGCAUCAAACAAUCACAAAGCAAAAUAUUUCAGUAACACACAAAAAUGGAGGUUGGAUGGAUCCAAGAAAUAGUUUGGACACAAAUGUGAAAAAGAAACUUUUUUCCCUCCCUGUUACAUGGCUCACAGUCAGUAACUUUACCCAGUCUGGUAUGUGCACAUUCAUCGCCCUGAUGAUGGAGGCAACACCAAAAUAAAUAAGUUACACUAUAACUGAAUAUACUUAUAUGUGUCUCUGUAAUUCAUUUUGCAGAUAUGCACAUAUAUUGCGCCCAUACUCAUACCCAAUUAGACCAAUGACGAAGACACCUGGUAGCAGCGCCCAAGAUCAGGCGACCUUCGGACAGAUCGAGAGCAUGACAUGAGAGGCCACAAACACCCCGGAAUUGACCAUACUUUAUAACAACACCUGUACUCACCAAUCCAGCAACAACAUGGAUUCACGUAUUAGGACAACAACUGCAGAGGUGAACAGUGGAAAUUGGUUGUAUCAUCCACUAUGAACUCUGAAGAAGAGUUUUUUGUAAACAUUAGUAUAUUUUUAUUAAAAAAUUGUUUCUAUA